This 273-nucleotide ribosomal RNA is filed under the name uncultured bacterium. Its description in RNAcentral is "partial 16S ribosomal RNA". It matches the Rfam family "Bacterial small subunit ribosomal RNA", at positions 524 to 796 of the family's 1533-position model. The record is from RNAcentral.
UACGUAGGGGGCGAGCGUUGUCCGGAAUCAUUGGGCGUAAAGCGCGUGUAGGCGGCUUGGUCAGUUUGGUGUGAAAUCCCGGGGCUCAACCCCGGAACUGCACUGAAUACUGCCUCGCUAGAGUCCGGGAGAGGAGUUGGGAAUUCCCAGUGUAGCGGUGAAAUGCGCAGAUAUUGGGAAGAACACCAAUGGCGAAGGCACAACUCUGGAACGGUACUGACGCUGAGACGCGAAAGCGUGGGGAGCAAACAGGAUUAGAUACCCCGGUAGUCC